Molecule: ribosomal RNA, 438 nt
Filed under: uncultured bacterium
Lineage: Bacteria
Description: bacterial SSU rRNA
Rfam family: Bacterial small subunit ribosomal RNA
Source: RNAcentral
AUUCGAUGCAACGCGAAGAACCUUACCAAGGCUUGACAUGCACGGCGACACUGCAGAGAUGUGGUGGCAUUUAGUUGGUCGUGUGCAGGUGGUGCAUGGUUGUCGUCAGCUCGUGUCGUGAGAUGUUGGGUUAAGUCCCGCAACGAGCGCAACCCUUGCCCUAUGUUGCCAGCACGUGAUGGUGGGGACUCGUGGGGGACUGCCGGGGUUAACUCGGAGGAAGGUGGGGACGACGUCAAAUCAUCAUGCCCCUUAUGACCUGGCUACACACGUGCUACAAUGGCUGGUACAACGAGUCGCGAGUCGGUGACGGCAAGCUAAUCUCUUAAAGCCAGUCUCAGUUCGGAUUGUAGGCUGCAACUCGCCUACAUGAAGUCGGAAUCGCUAGUAAUCGCGGAUCAGCACGCCGCGGUGAAUACGUUCCCGGGCCUAGUACAC